RNAcentral lists this microRNA precursor (63 nucleotides) under Dipodomys ordii (Ord's kangaroo rat). RNAcentral's name for it is "microRNA 149 (ENSDORG00000023601.1)". The record is from RNAcentral. Lineage: Eukaryota; Metazoa; Chordata; Mammalia; Rodentia; Heteromyidae.
GGCUCUGGCUCCGUGUCUUCACUCCCGUGUCUAGAGGAGGGAGGGAGGGCCGGGGGCUGUGCU